GGGCAACCUGCCCAAAAGAGGGGGAUAACACUUGGAAACAGGUGCUAAUACCGCAUAACCAUAGUUACCGCAUGGUAACUAUGUAAAAGGUGGCUAUGCUACCGCUUUUGGAUGGGCCCGCGGCGCAUUAGCUAGUUGGUGGGGUAAAGGCUUACCUAGGCAAUGAUGCGUAGCCGAACUGAGAGGUUGAUCGGCCACAUUGGGACUGAGACACGGCCCAAACUCCUACGGGAGGCAGCAGUAGGGAAUCUUCCACAAUGGGCGAAAGCCUGAUGGAGCAACGCCGCGUGGGUGAAGAAGGUCUUCGGAUCGUAAAACCCUGUUGUUAGAGAAGAAAGUGCGUGAGAGUAACUGUUCACGUUUCGACGGUAUCUAACCAGAAAGCCACGGCUAACUACGUGCCAGCAGCCGCGGUAAUACGUAGGUGGCAAGCGUUAUCCGGAUUUAUUGGGCGUAAAGGGAACGCAGGCGGUCUUUUAAGUCUGAUGUGAAAGCCUUCGGCUUAACCGGAGUAGUGCAUUGGAAACUGGGAGACUUGAGUGCAGAAGAGGAGAGUGGAACUCCAUGUGUAGCGGUGAAAUGCGUAGAUAUAUGGAAGAACACCAGUGGCGAAAGCGGCUCUCUGGUCUGUAACUGACGCUGAGGUUCGAAAGCGUGGGUAGCAAACAGGAUUAGAUACCCUGGUAGUC
This 689-nucleotide ribosomal RNA is filed under the name uncultured bacterium. Its description in RNAcentral is "bacterial SSU rRNA". It matches the Rfam family "Bacterial small subunit ribosomal RNA", at positions 119 to 795 of the family's 1533-position model. The record is from RNAcentral.